UACGUAGGGGGCAAGCGUUGUCCGGAUUUAUUGGGCGUAAAGAGCGUGUAGGCGGCCAGAUAGGUCAGCUGUGAAAACUCGAGGCUCAACCUCGAGAUGUCGGCUGAAACCAUCUGGCUAGAGUCCGGAAGAGGCGAGUGGAAUUCCUGGUGUAGCGGUGGAAUGCGCAGAUAUCAGGAGGAACACCAAUAGCGAAGGCAGCUCGCUGGGACGGUAUUGACGCUGAGGCGCGAAAGCGUGGGGAGCAAACAGG
RNAcentral lists this ribosomal RNA (253 nucleotides) under uncultured bacterium. Its description in RNAcentral is "partial 16S ribosomal RNA". It matches the Rfam family "Bacterial small subunit ribosomal RNA", at positions 524 to 776 of the family's 1533-position model. The record is from RNAcentral.